GAACCCUUGGAUUCGUCUGAGGGGGAGAGUGGCGGACGGGUGAGUAACACGUAGGUGACCUGCCCCAAAGCGGGGAAUAACUACUGGAAACGGUGGCUAAUACCCCAUGUGCUCGAUGGUUCAGUCUGUCGAGUAAAGCUCCGGCGCUUUGGGAGGGGCCUGCGGCCCAUCAGGUAGUUGGUGGGGUAAUGGCCUACCAAGCCAAUGACGGGUAGGGGGCGUGAGAGCGUGAUCCCCCACACUGGCACUGAGACACGGGCCAGACUCCUACGGGAGGCAGCAGUGAGGAAUAUUGCCCAAUGGACGAAAGUCUGAGGCAGCAACGCCGCGUGAGCGAUGAAGGCCUUCGGGUUGUAUAGCUCUUUUCUGGGGGACGAGGAAGGACGGUACCUCAGGAAUAAGUCACGGCUAACUACGUGCCAGCAGCCGCGGUAAUACGUAGGUGGCGAGCGUUAUCCGGAUUUACUGGGCGUAAAGCGCGUGUAGGCGGUUUCGUAAGUCGGAUGUGAAAGCUCCUGGCUCAACUGGGAGAGGCCAUUCGAUACUGCGGGACUUGAGGUCGGGAGAGGGACGUGGAAUUCCCGGUGUAGUGGUGGAAUGCGUAGAUAUCGGGAGGAACACCAGUGGCGAAGGCGGCGUCCUGGCCCGCACCUGACGCUAAGACGCGAAAGCGUGGGUAGCGAACGGGAUUAGAUACCCCGGUAGUCCACGCCGUAAACGGUGGAUACUAAGGUGUUGGGGGGGGGAGACUUCCUUAGUACCGCAGCUAACGCGUGAAGUUGACCGCCUGGGGAGUACGGU
This 801-nucleotide ribosomal RNA is filed under the name uncultured bacterium. RNAcentral's name for it is "bacterial SSU rRNA". It matches the Rfam family "Bacterial small subunit ribosomal RNA", at positions 68 to 886 of the family's 1533-position model. The record is from RNAcentral.